UGGGGAAUUUUGGACAAUGGGCGAAAGCCUGAUCCAGCAAUGCCGCGUGUGUGAAGAAGGCCUUCGGGUUGUAAAGCACUUUUGUCCGGAAAGAAAUGGCUCUGGUUAAUACCUGGGGUCGAUGACGGUACCGGAAGAAUAAGGACCGGCUAACUACGUGCCAGCAGCCGCGGUAAUACGUAGGGUCCAAGCGUUAAUCGGAAUUACUGGGCGUAAAGCGUGCGCAGGCGGUUGUGCAAGACCGAUGUGAAAUCCCCGAGCUUAACUUGGGAAUUGCAUUGGUGACUGCACGGCUAGAGUGUGUCAGAGGGGGGUAGAAUUCCACGUGUAGCAGUGAAAUGCGUAGAGAUGUGGAGGAAUACCGAUGGCGAAGGCAGCCCCCUGGGAUAACACUGACGCUCAUGCACGAAAGCGUGGGGAGCAAAACGGGAUUAGAUACCCUGGUAGUCCACGCCCUAAAACGAUGUCAACUAGUUGUUGGGGAUUCAUUUCCUUAGUAAACGUAGCUAACGCGUGAAGUUGACCGCCU
Molecule: ribosomal RNA, 529 nt
Filed under: uncultured bacterium
Lineage: Bacteria
Description: partial 16S ribosomal RNA
Rfam family: Bacterial small subunit ribosomal RNA
Source: RNAcentral